AACGCACAUUGCGCCCGCCAGUAUUCUGGCGGGCAUGCCUGUCCGAGCGUCACUACACCACUCAGCGCCCCUUCGGGGGUGCUGGCGUUGGGGAUCGGCCGCCCACGGCGGCGCCCGUCCCCCAAAUCCAGUGGCGGCCCGGCGUGAGCUCCCCUGCGCAGUAGCAAUGCCACGCAGAGGGUGCAGCGUCGGUGUCCCGCCGUAAAACACCCAACUUCUCACGGUUGACCUCGGAUCAGGUAGGACUACCCGCUGAACUUAA
This 262-nucleotide unclassified non-coding RNA is filed under the name uncultured fungus. Its description in RNAcentral is "partial contains 5.8S ribosomal RNA, internal transcribed spacer 2, and large subunit ribosomal RNA". The stretch from base 1 to 52 matches the Rfam family "5.8S ribosomal RNA", at positions 103 to 154 of the family's 154-position model. Lineage: Eukaryota; Fungi. The record is from RNAcentral.